CCCAGGCUUCCAUCUCGAUCCCAAGGUUUGAUGCGACACCGGGCGUGUUUGCCUGUUGGCAGCUUCCCCGUCACGUGCACUAGGCCCCCUGGGAGGUGGGUGGCCCUGCCUGCCGCCCCCGAUUGAAGGGCCCAUUCCCCGGGGACUUGGAGCUGUGAGCGCCGCUUGCCUGGCUCGGGAGGGCAGGAGCUGCUGACGUCCCCACGUCUCAGAUGAGGACCCCGAGGCUCGGGUGGCGAGGAGGGAACCCGGGGAAGCUGCCCAGGCCUGUCUGCUUCCAGGUCCCACCCCGGGCCCAUAAGGCCAGGCCCAGCCCGUGUCGGGACAGCAGCCCAGAGUUGUGCAGCCAUCAUGUGCCCGUCAGUCUGAAACCUGGUGCCGUACCCACUGCUCCGCACCCCCUCCUCGGCCGGAGGCAGCCACCGAGCCACUUGUUGUCUUAGGAGUUGCUUACUCUGGACAGCUCGUGGAAGCAAAGCUGCAGCAUGCGACCUCUUACGUCUGCCUUCUUUCCCUCAGCAUGAUUUCCAGAUUCAUCCGUGUCGUAGCUCUGUCAGCGCGUUGUUCCUUUUAAUGGUUGAAUAAUAUUCCUUUGUACAGAUUUUAUUUCUUUACUCAUCGUGUGUUAGACAUUUGUGUUGCUUCUACUUUUUGGCCACUUUGAAUAAAGCUGCUAUGGACAUGUGUGUAUGAAUUUUCCUGUGGUUGCAUGUUUUCAUUUCUCUUGGACAUGCACCCAUGAGUGG
Molecule: long non-coding RNA, 746 nt
Filed under: Canis lupus familiaris (dog)
Lineage: Eukaryota; Metazoa; Chordata; Mammalia; Carnivora; Canidae
Description: lncRNA (ENSCAFG00000053096.1)
Source: RNAcentral